AUGAAAACAUGGCACUGUCCCUACUGCGCUAUUAUCUGUGGAUGUGAUUUACUUCAGCUCUUCCAAACAGACAACCGUCUGAACAACACAAGGAUGUGGCCAGCACCCAAACAGACCACACUCCUCUGAAGCAGGAGGGCAGUCAUCAUUCACCAGUUACUCCUAAUGUCGAAAAUGUAUGCAAUUUGGACCAUGGCGCCUGAUCGAGGUAAACUAAAUAGCACCAUGAACUCACAGCAUAGUGAACUAUCCACACGGCAGUCGGAGACAAGCACAUUUGCAAUUUUUCUGAGAUUUGCCAGAAUCGGAAUGACUCAAUCCACGGAAGAUAAUGGAUGUGAGUAUGGGAAAUGGAGCUGUAAGAACGGAAGGCCGCCUUGUUUCCUCUGUUCCCAUGCCUGUGGGGUUCACGCUUUAAUUCAGGAAGAUGUGCCAAGGAAAGGCGUUGCUCUCACCGGUCAGGGUCCAAGGCUCCGGGCCACCAUUAAUGUCUCGUUGCACACCAAUGGCGUUCCCGGGGAGCUUAUCUGGCACUGCAAGAGCAAAGCAGCUCUGCUGCAAAUCCACCUGACUCAGAAAGCUCUUGACGACCCAGAGCAGUUGGUUCUGCUGUCCUCCACCUCACACUUUCCGGAGGACUUGGGACAGUACGUACACGUGAAUCCGCAUGUGCCCACACUUGGGGCUGUACAUACACGUGUAUCUUCAUGUGCUCACACUUGGGGCUGUACACACACGUGUAUCUUCAUGUGCUCACACUUGGGGCUGUACACACAUGUGUACAUACUUGGGGCUGUAUGUACAUGUGCCCACACUUGGGGCUGUACGUACAUGUGUAUCUGUGUCUGCCUACACUUGGGACUGCGGAUUGUAACACACCAAGUGACUGCAAGGGACCCCAACAGAGGAUAGUGCAGCUCUGCGUUCUCAUUUCUGACACUCUCUCUUCUUAUUUCAACAGUGACUUCAUUUGUGUGAAACAGUCUAAUGUCAGUGUGGUUCUUCUAUGACACCUGGUAUGUUAUUGUCACAUUGUCAUCAGGAUCAUAUAAGAAAAUGUCGAUUGGGAAGAAACUCUGCAGCUAGUUAAAAAAUUCUUUUAAGAGGCUCCCUUUCCGUUGAUUCUAAUUCCUGUACACCUACAAGGUCAUUUCUCAUGAGUGAGAUGCUCCUGUCCCUGUCCCACCUUGACAGGGGGUGGGAGAAGGCCUCUGAGGUCUCAGUGCUCACCCAGGCCUGCCCCAUACUUUUAUCUGUGGUAUCAGCCAUUUAUUACCACCAGGUCUCCGGUUUAGUCCCCUGCUGACUUGGCAUCUCUGGAUUACAUACACUGCCUUACAAUUUUCAGGUCAAUUUGUGAUUGAAGGGAUGAUUAUUUUUGUGCUUAUCUUUGGGAAUGACAUUUACUUUAACUGGGGUCUGCAGAAACUUUAGAGUGGACUUCCGGCCUGGCUUGGUGCAGUCCCUCCAUCUACAGGCUUGGAUUUUUCAGGGUCUCAGAGUUGGUCUGGCUCAAGAACACUGACUCGUGUUAGCACAUCUCAGAGGAGACUGACACAGGAAACCAGAGUGCCAGUUCAUUAAUUUACAGUGAGUAAUAUAAGUGUCAAGUGGACCAGAUGUUGGCUUCAUCCUGACCAACACAUUCUCUCCCUGUAGGCAAGCUACUUGGGAAGUCAAACAAUCAGAAGGAUGCUUGGGGAACAGGCAGUCAGAACAGGAGCACGGAGUUUGAUGAUUCCAACGUCCAGCCACACGAAUGGUACACAAAGGCUGUUCAGACCCCUCAUUGGAAGCCGGAACAGGAGCUGUUGCUCUGUAAUUAGCGUAUCACGUGCAACUCCGAGCUGCUCACCUUCUGAUACCUGGCUGCCCUCACCUUGUCUGCAUCCCAAGGCACAAUGGAAGUGAGCGUCUGGCCUGCCAUGGGUGUACGGGGUAUGUGGUGCAAUAUUUGUGAGCAUCAUGUACACAAAUAGUGUACACAAAUGGUAUUUGGCUAAGAGACACUAGCCACAAAAUAAAAAAUAUACCUAAGAAUUAUCUGAUAUGAAUUUGCACAUCCCUAUCAACCAGCAAAAUGUUACAAUCAACCAGCAAUACACAGUUUUUUAGUAACGCAGAUCAUUGCCAGCUUCACUCAUGUUAAUUCGUGGCUCAGGUCCGCAGUAAGAUAUACCUGUUAGGCAGGGCAGGCGCUGGGGCUGGGGGCAGAGGACUCGCUCCCAGGGUCGGUACUUAGGUGGGCUUUGCAGCAGUUUCCCCACAUAACUGUUCUUUCUGGUGCUUCCAUUUUAGGCCUGCAUCGUGUCAUACCAAAGGGCCUUCUCGCCCUGAGAUGUGUUUGACAAGCCUGCUUUUAAUUCAUGCUGGAUGUGAAGGCAGUCCAUCUCGUUGAUGGAGUUUUGUUUUGUUUAGCUCUGAUCAUGCUGUGUUGGUGGUGUAGCUUAAUUCUCAAAGCGAAAACUGAUUUCCAGGUUCUUAAAGAGCACUCCUGCAUGGCUUCCAGGGUGCCACCCCCUGCCCCCGCAUCUGCACGAGCCCCUUCUCAUUCUUUAUUCUUUUACGCACUCCCUGUGAUUAAUCUGGCUGCUACUCCAGUGCCCAUGACUUGGGUCUGCCUCAGCCACCUCCAGCCCCCAACAUCCCCACAUCUUUCUCAUCAGAGGGUGGUGGCACCUUUGCUGCUCAUGGUCCAGGGUUGUCACAAGGAUCAGAUGGCAAACAAAGCACAGUGCUGUGAAAUCUGUGCAGAGAGAAGAGAUUCCAAUUUCUUUUCUUAAAAAAUAAAUAUGGCUGCUGGGCUUGAUUUUCUUCAUUUCAGAAUGUCUUGGUGGGACCCAAGAGAAAGGUGGAAAAAGAGUUUAAAACAACUUCGACUGCAAGCCCGUUUCCAUGAAGUUCCUCAAGACUUUUGUAUGUUAGUAAAUCUCUCCACGUGACCUCAUUUGGCAUAAUCUUAUCUUUUAGUUUGGUAGAAGUGCUUUAAGAUUUGAUCACAGACAUCUUUUUCACAGAUAUCCUAUUCACUAACACCCUAGUGUACAGAAGUGAAGUUUGGCUAAGAGACAGUAGCCACAAAAUAAAAAAUAUACCUAAGAAUUAUCUGAUAUGAACUUGCAAAUGCCUAUCAACCAGCAAAAUGUUACAAUCAACCAGCAAUACACAGUUGUUUAGUAAUGCAGAUCAUUGCCAGCUUCACUCAUGUUAAUUCGUGGCUCGGGUCCUUAGACUUUGACUUUAUCUUCCAUUUUGGGAAACUUUGCUGAACUUUAACCCAGGCUCUGUAUCCACCAAUGCAUUGCCUUGAAGCCUGUUUCAGUUUACCUAGCCCUCAAUGGGCAUCCACCUGCUUACUGUUCCUCUGAAUACCAGCCUUCACGGAAACUACACCAGGAGAUAAUUAGUCACGCUAACAACCUCGGAAAGCACU
RNAcentral lists this long non-coding RNA (3433 nucleotides) under Homo sapiens (human). RNAcentral's name for it is "long non-coding RNA NONHSAT178665.1". The record is from RNAcentral. Lineage: Eukaryota; Metazoa; Chordata; Mammalia; Primates; Hominidae.